Molecule: transfer RNA, 71 nt
Filed under: Achatinella sowerbyana
Lineage: Eukaryota; Metazoa; Mollusca; Gastropoda; Stylommatophora; Achatinellidae
Description: tRNA-Met
Source: RNAcentral
CUAAAAAUAAGCUAAAUAAAAUAAAUUAAGCUAUUGGGCUCAUAACUCAAAAAUGAUUUGAUCUUUUUAGA